GAAAGAAUCGGAAUCGGAAUUGGAAAAAGUCGAUCGACAAAUCGUUUCAGUUGAAGAUCUUAAGUCCAAACUCGAAACUGCUUCAGUAUUACUUCAUGACUUGAAAUCCGAAUUAGCUGCUUACAUGGGCGAAAAUCAUGAGAAAGAAAUGGAAAAUAACGAAUCGUUAAAUAACAAUAGCAAUACACGUAAACAAAUGCAAGAAGCUAUCGAUGUAGAAAAGAUUAACCUUGAGGAAGUGAACAAAAGCAUCGAAUUAGCAACGAAUGAGGUCAAAUCAUUGAAACAAGCUGCAAAUUCAUUGAACUCGGAACUCGAGAAAGAGAAAUCA
This 331-nucleotide long non-coding RNA is filed under the name Lactuca sativa (garden lettuce). Its description in RNAcentral is "long non-coding RNA (LSAT_LNC006904)". Lineage: Eukaryota; Viridiplantae; Streptophyta; Magnoliopsida; Asterales; Asteraceae. The record is from RNAcentral.